Molecule: long non-coding RNA, 635 nt
Organism: Sinocyclocheilus rhinocerous
Lineage: Eukaryota; Metazoa; Chordata; Actinopteri; Cypriniformes; Cyprinidae
Exons: 3
Source: RefSeq, a predicted model, not a curated record
AUGCAUUGGCUCAUGAUGAUGUACUAUUGGCUCAUGAGGUUUCACUACUGGAUCAUGAGGUUUAUGCAUUGGCUCAUGAGGAUGUACUAUUGGUUUAUGAGGUUUAUGCAUUUCCUCUUGAUGAUGUACUAUUGGUUCAUGAGGUUUAUGCAUUGCUUCAUGAUGAUGUACUAUUGGCUCAUGAGGUUUAAGCAUUGGCUCAUGAGGAUUCACUAUUGGAUCAUGAGGUUUAUGCAUUGACUCAUGAUGAUGUACUACUGGCCCAUGAGAAUUCACUAUUGGCUCAUGAGGAUUCACUAUUGACUUGUGAGGAUUCACUAUUGGCUCAUGAGGAUUCACUAAUGGCUCAUGAGGUUUAACUAUUGGUUCAUGAGGAUUCACUAUUGGCUCAUGAGUUUUAUGCCCUGGCUCAUGAAGUUUCACUAUUGGCUCAUGUGGCUCAUGAUGUUUAUGCAUUGGCUCAUGGGUAUUCACCAUUGUCUCAAGUGGUUUAUGCAUUGGCUCAUGAGGAAUUACUAUUAGCUCAUGAGGUUUAUGCAUUGACUCAUGAGGUUUCACUAUUGGCUCAUGAGGAUUCACUAUUGUCUCAAAUGGUUUAUGCAUUGGCUCAUGAGAUUCUGGUAUUGGCUCAUGAU